UAUCGCUGCCCACCUUGGGCGUUUCCUCCCUAGACUUAGGCCGCUUGUGGCAACGCAGGCGGCCCUUUUUUUGUGUGCA
This 79-nucleotide small RNA is filed under the name Bradyrhizobium sp. WSM1253. Its description in RNAcentral is "suhB". It matches the Rfam family "Makes More Granules Regulator RNA (mmgR)". From Rfam's summary of the family: SuhB later renamed mmgR (makes more granules regulator) was a putative non-coding RNA found multiple times in the Agrobacterium tumefaciens genome and related alpha-proteobacteria. Other non-coding RNAs uncovered in the same analysis include: speF, ybhL, metA, and serC. The record is from RNAcentral. Lineage: Bacteria; Pseudomonadati; Pseudomonadota; Alphaproteobacteria; Hyphomicrobiales; Nitrobacteraceae.